RNAcentral lists this ribosomal RNA (253 nucleotides) under uncultured bacterium. RNAcentral's name for it is "partial 16S ribosomal RNA". It matches the Rfam family "Bacterial small subunit ribosomal RNA", at positions 524 to 776 of the family's 1533-position model. The record is from RNAcentral.
UACGAGGGGUGCAAGCGUUAUUCGGAUUUAUUGGGCGUAAAGGGUGCGUAGAUGGUUUGUUAAGUCUGCUGUUAAAUUCUCCGACUUAAUCGGAGGUAGGCGGUGGAAACUGGCAAUCUAGAGUGUGGGAGAGAGAAGUGGAAUUCCCGGAGUAGCGGUAAAAUGCACAGAUCUCGGGAGGAACACCAAUGGCGAAGGCAGCUUCUUGGCCCAUUACUGACAUUGAGGCACGAAAGCGUGGGGAGCAAACAGG